GAUGAAGAACGUAGCGAAAUGCGAUAAGUAAUGUGAAUUGCAGAAUUCAGUGAAUCAUCGAAUCUUUGAACGCACAUUGCGCCCGCUGGUAUUCCGGCGGGCAUGCCUGUUCGAGCGUCAUUUCAACCCUUAAGCUCUCCGGAGUUUGGUGUUGGGGCGCCUGGGGCUUUUCGACCUCAGGGCCCUCAAGUCCAUCGGCGGGACCGCCAGGACACUGAGCGCAGUAGUAUUAUUUCGCUCGGUAGGAUCUUCCACGGCGGGUCGAUCUGGCCGCUAAACCCCCCAAUUCUCACCAAAGGUUGACCUCGGAUCAGGUAGGAAUACCCGCUGAACUUAAGCAUAUCAAUAAGCGGAGGA
Molecule: unclassified non-coding RNA, 357 nt
Filed under: soil metagenome
Description: partial contains 5.8S ribosomal RNA, internal transcribed spacer 2, and large subunit ribosomal RNA
Rfam family: 5.8S ribosomal RNA (bases 1-120)
Source: RNAcentral